AACGAACGCUGGCGGCAUGCCUAACACAUGCACGUCGAACGAUCCCUUCGUGGAUAUUUGCGCACGUGUUCUUAACGCGUUGGAACCUGCCCUUAGUUUCGGAAUAACUCAGAGAAUUUUGAGCUAAUACCUGUUAAUUUCUUCGGACCAAAGAUUUAUCGCCUUUGGAUGGGCACGCGUUGUCUUAUCUAGUUGGUGGGGUAAAGGCCUACCAAGGCGACGAUCCAUAGCUGGUCUGAGAGGAUGAUCAGCCACAAUGGGAAUGAGAAAAGGACCAGACUAAUAAGGGAGGGAGAAGAGGGGAAUAUUAGACAAUGGGAGAAAGCCAGAAACAGCAAAGCAGCGAGAGUGAUGAAGGCGUUAGGGUUGUAAAGCUAUAUUACCAGGGAUGAAAAUGACAGGAAAGGGAGAAUAAGACACGGCUAACAAAGUG
Molecule: ribosomal RNA, 433 nt
Filed under: uncultured bacterium
Lineage: Bacteria
Description: partial 16S ribosomal RNA
Rfam family: Bacterial small subunit ribosomal RNA
Source: RNAcentral